CUGCCGCCUCGCCCUGGGACCUGCCCACGUGCCUUCAGCCUCGCCAGGAGCCACCUGCCGGUCGCUUCGCCCCGGGACCGGCCCACUUUCCUUCAACCCCACCCAGACGCCUGUCCACCUGCCUUAAGCCCCGCCCAGGGACCUGCCCACCUGCCUUAAGCCCCGCCCAGGAGCCUGUCCACCUGCCUUAAGCCCUGCCCAGGCGACUGCUCCCCUACAUCUGGCCCCGCCCAGGGACCUUCUCACCGGCCUAGGCGCCCACCUGCGUGUGCCCUGUGCCCGCCCCGCCCACCCCGUCGCGGCAGAAGAGCAGAGGUUAAAGUUGAGCUGGCUUGGCCAAAAGCCAAGUCUGUCCAGCGCCUUGUUCCAAACCUAAGCUGGCUGCCCUCCUUCGUGCAUCUUGUGAACAAAUGCUGCGGUUAACCCAUUGUGUUCCAUCUUCCCAGAUGUGAACACUGGAGACUAACAAAUUUAAUCUGUUACAAGCUUUGUGGAAAUGUAAAAUUUUAAAAAAUGAUUUUAAAAAGCAACACCACUAUAAUCCCAGCUACAAAUGCAUUAAGAGGUUUGCUUUGGUUAAAGUUGGGGAACCGAUGGAGUAGAACUUGGCUGAGAGAAGGAAUCUUCAAGACCAUAAAACAUCACAUUCUAUCUAUGUGAAAUAUCCAGAAUGGAUAAAUUCAUACAAACAGAAAACAGAUUGGUGAUUCCCAGGGGUUACAAAAGGGAAGAAGAGAAACUACUUAAUGUGUCUUAUUCUGUUCAGUGCUAUAACAAAACACCAUAAAUGCGUGGGCUUAUAAACAACAGACAUUUCUUUCUCAUGGUUCUAGAGGCUGGAAGUCCAAGCUCAGGUGUCCAGCACCGUGGUGUCUGGUUCGUAGGUGUCCUUCUUCUCACUGGGUCCUCACAGCAUGAAAUGGUGAAGGAAUCUCUCUGGAGUCUCUUCUCAUAAGGCACUAAUUCUUCAUAACCUAAUCACCCCCACCUCCAGACAAAUCACAAUGGGAAUUACAACAUUCAGUCUACAGCACUGGACUGGACUUUGGAGUGCUGAAAUGUGUUGAACUAGACAGAGGUGGAGACAGCACACCACUGUGAGUGACCUAAAUACCACUGAAUUGUUUGUUGUGAAAUAGUUAUGCAAAUUUCACCUCCAUAAAUGUUUAAAGAGAAGAGAUGGGGAGGAGAGGAGAGAAGGGGUGGCCUGGUAGUGCCACCACCACAGCAGGCCAGGAAUUGGGAGCUGGGCCUCGUCCCCUCUGAAGACUACAGACCCACCCACCGCUCCCUGAAGCCCCAUUCUGUAGUUCCUUGGUGGCAAUUCUCUCCCAAAGGCCAGUGGACACCUCCCUCACCAGGGCAAGAAAACGCUCUCCAGCGGCCCCCACUGCACAACCCCCCUGCACCCCUGCCUGCCUGCCUGCCUGGUCUGUGCCCAUCAUGGGCCGCCCACAUCAAACCCUGCGUGUGCAAGGGAGAUCCCCUUCACUGUCACCUCCCCCUCCGUUCUUUCUCAGCCCCACGUCACUUGCUCCAUGAAGGAAGACUGCAGUCCUUCCUGAAUGGCCUCCCGCCUUCACCCUGCCUCCACCGCAGCUUCAUCAUGGCCACAGUCAGCCAGUCCCACUCCUCACUUAAAACCUUGGCUGUCACUGAAGGCUGGCCUGGAACCCUUCGAAUGCCGCACCCCGUGAUUUAGGCAUUGUGUUUUGCUCAUGAUUGCUCAACUAACACUUACAAGUGGAAUUUAGACACGUUAAAAUUUCAAAUGUAUUCAUGCACAUAUCAA
Molecule: long non-coding RNA, 1792 nt
Organism: Ictidomys tridecemlineatus (thirteen-lined ground squirrel)
Lineage: Eukaryota; Metazoa; Chordata; Mammalia; Rodentia; Sciuridae
Source: RefSeq, a predicted model, not a curated record